RNAcentral lists this ribosomal RNA (235 nucleotides) under uncultured Lactobacillus sp. RNAcentral describes it as "partial 16S ribosomal RNA". It matches the Rfam family "Bacterial small subunit ribosomal RNA", at positions 127 to 354 of the family's 1533-position model. The record is from RNAcentral. Lineage: Bacteria; Bacillati; Bacillota; Bacilli; Lactobacillales; Lactobacillaceae.
UGCCCAAGAGAUCGGGAUAACACCUGGAAACAGAUGCUAAUACCGGAUAACAACAGAUGAUGCCUAUCAACUGUUUAAAAGAUGGUUCUGCUAUCACUCUUGGAUGGACCUGCGGUGCAUUAGCUAGUUGGUAGGGUAACGGCCUGCCAAGGCGAUGAUGCAUAGCCGAGUUGAGAGACUGAUCGGCCACAUUGGGACUGAGACACGGCCCAAACUCCUACGGGAGGCAGCAGAC